UCGAAUCAAGGGAAGCGUGCCGGUGCAGGCAAUCGACCACCGUAAGCGUCGUUGCAACCAAUUAAGCGCCGAUUCCAAUCAGCGCGACUUCGCCCUCGCUGCAUAAGCGACGGUGAGUCUGUCAGACCGGGAGCGCCCUCGGCCCGGACCCUGGCAUCAGCUAGAGGGAUUCACCGAUACGUUCGGUCGCGGGAUGUAUCGGGACAUCACACAGCGACUGGGAUCGUCAUCCCGGCUUGUUCGCGUGAGCGGGAGAUCCGAGUAGAGACAUAGCGAACUGCGCACGGAGAAGCCUCGAGGGAAUGCCGUAGGACCCGGGUUCGAUUCCCGGCAGCUCCACCG
This 342-nucleotide transfer-messenger RNA is filed under the name Actinomycetes bacterium. Its description in RNAcentral is "partial transfer-messenger RNA". It matches the Rfam family "transfer-messenger RNA". From Rfam's summary of the family: Bacterial tmRNA, also known as 10Sa RNA or SsrA, is named for its dual tRNA and mRNA-like properties. Its role is to liberate the mRNA from a stalled ribosome. To accomplish this part of the tmRNA is used as a reading frame that ends in a translation stop signal. Lineage: Bacteria; Bacillati; Actinomycetota; Actinomycetes. The record is from RNAcentral.